CGCCUGUUUAUCAAAAACAUGUCCUUUUGAUAAUUUAUUUAAGGUCUAACCUGCCCAAUGAAUAAUUGAAUGGCCGCGGUAUUUUAACUGUGCUAAGGUAGCAUAAUCAUUUGUCUUUUAAUUGAAGGCUGGAAUGAAAGGUUGGACGAAACAUCAAUUUUCUUUAAUUUAAUAGUAGAAUUUAAUUUUUUAGUUAAAAAGCUAAAAUUUUUUUAGGGGACGAGAAGACCCUAUAGAUCUUGAUAAAGUCAAUAUUUAUUAAUUUGGUCGUUGAAUAUAAUUGAAUAUGAAGUUUUAUUUGAUUGGGGCGAUUCUAGAAUUUAACAAACUUCUGGUUUUAUUUUUCAUUAAUUAAUGUUUUUUUGAUCCGUUAUUAGUGAUUAAAAGAUUAAGUUACCUUAGGGAUAACAGCGUAAUUUUUUCAGAGAGUUCAUAUUAAUGAAAAAGUUUGCGACCUCGAUGUUGGAUUAAAAUAAGUGUUUGGUGCAGUAGCUAAAUUACUAGGUCUGUUCGACCUUUAAAUUUUUACAUGAUCUGAGUUCAAACCGGAG
Molecule: ribosomal RNA, 551 nt
Filed under: Lisarda sp. CW-2009
Lineage: Eukaryota; Metazoa; Arthropoda; Insecta; Hemiptera; Reduviidae
Description: partial 16S ribosomal RNA
Rfam family: Bacterial large subunit ribosomal RNA
Source: RNAcentral